This 4042-nucleotide long non-coding RNA is filed under the name Sus scrofa (pig). Its description in RNAcentral is "lncRNA (ENSSSCG00000062915.1)". Lineage: Eukaryota; Metazoa; Chordata; Mammalia; Artiodactyla; Suidae. The record is from RNAcentral.
CAACUCAUGAGGGAAAGAAAACAGAAGGAUGAUUAGUGACUGCUUUAAUUUUCUGUUACUAUGCUCUGCUAAGGGCAAGCAGAAAGGAAAACCAACAGAAAUUGAAAUUCAGGACUUUGGGAAAGUUUCAGAAGUAAAGGUGUUGAGGUGUGGGGUGGAUUAGUCGCGAGUAUGGCAAAUUGUUAAAAUGGGACUCAUUUUCUGCCGAGGUCUCAACAGAUGGAGAAAAAAAUCAUAAAACUGAAAGAAUUCUUGCCAUCUAAAAGACAAAACAAACUGACAAUGAAAACAACAAGGUUUCAGCGAAACACCCAUCUAAUCAGUACUAAAGUAUCAAGCACAAAGAGGCCAGGACAGAACUUUUUUUGCAGAGAGUUACGAGAACUUUGGAGAGAGAGUGGUGUAGUGUUUCUCCUCUCUAUUCUAGGCCUCCAUGGAGCUGAAUUUGAAUUUGAGUUUGGUCUCAGCGGAAUGUGCACUAGGGUUGGGCUCAUUCUGGAGAAGUCUAAAACUUUCUGCCCUGGGAGUAACGGGGAACAGAAGUUUCUCUCCUAUAGUUCAUAUGUGGGCCUCCUGGGUGAGCAAGUCCCAGCCUGGAAGCCUGGAUCAUUUUAUAGGGAACUUCCAUCAAGAUUGUUUCUUGACAUAGGCAGUACAACAGAGACUGUGCUUGUCCCCAUGGAAGCAGAAGCUGAGGAUUUUCUUUGUUUAUGUCACCUCUUCUUUGAAUAUUUUUUAUUAUUUUUUUUAAGAAUGAUUUAUUUUUUCCAUUAUCGCUGAUUUAUAGUGUUCUGUCAAUAUUCUACUGCAGUGAGGUGACCCAGUCACAUAUACAUGUACACAUUAUUUUUUCUCACAUUGUCAUGCUCCAUCACAAGUGACCAGACAUAGUUCACAGUGUGAUGUAGCAAGAUUUCAUUGCUUAUCCAUUCCAAGGCAAUAGUUUGCAUCUAUUAACCCCAAAUUCCCAGUCCCUCCCACUCCUUUCCCCUCCCUCUUGGCAACCACAAGUCUGUUCUCCAUGUUAAUGAUUUUUUUUCCAUGCAAAGGUUCAUUUUUGCCAUAUAUUAGAUUCCAGAUAUAAGUGAAAUCAUAUGGUAUUUGCCUUUCCCUUUCUGACUUACUUCACUCUGUAUGAGAGUCUCUAGUUCCAUCCAUGUUGCUGCAAAUGGCAUUAUUUUGUUCUUUUUUAUGGCUGAGUAGUAGUCCAUUGUGUAUAUAUACCACUUCUUCCUAAUCCAAUCAUCUGUCAAUGGACAUUUAGGUUGUUUUCAUGUCUUGGCUAUUGUGAAUAGUGCUGCAAUGAAUAUGCAGGUGCAUGUAUCUUUUUUAAGGAAAGUUUUGUCCAGAUAUAUGUCCAAGAGUGGGAUUGCUGGGUCAUGUGGUAGUUCUGUGUAUAGUUUUCUAAGCUACCUCCAUACUGUUCUCCAUAGUGGUUGUACCAAUUUACAUUCCCACCAACAGUGCAGCAUUUGCUAUUUGUGGACUUAUUAAUCAUGGCCAUUCUGACUGCCUUGAGGUGGUACCUCAUGAUAAUUUUGAUUUGCAUUUCUCUAAUAAUCAGUGAUGUUGAGCAUUUUUUCAUGUGCUUGUUGGCCAUCUGAACAUCUUCCUUGGAGAAAUGUCUAUUCAGGUCUUUUGCCCAUUUUUCCAUUGGGUUGUUGCUGGCUUUUUUGAUGUUGAGUUGUAUGAAUUGUUUGUAUGUUCUAGAGAUUAAGCCCUUGUCAGUUGAAUCAUUUGAAACUAUUUUCUCCCAUUCUGUAAGUUGUCUUUUUGGUUUUUUUUAUGGUAUCCUUUGCUGUGCAAAAACUUGUCAGUUUGAUUAGGUCCCAUUGGCUUAUUUUAUUUUGUUUCUGUUACUUUGGGAGACUGACCUGAGAAAACAUUUGGCAGGUUGAUGCAGAGAAUGUUUUGCCUAUGUUCUCUUCCAGGAGUUUGAUGGUGUCUUGUCUGAUAUUUAAGUCUUUAAGCCAUUUUGAGUUUAUUUUUGUACAUGGUGUGAGGGUGUGUUCCAGUUUCGUUGAUUUACAUGCAGCUGUUCAGUUUUCCCAGCACCACUUCCUAAAAAGACUGUCUUUUUCCCAUUUUAUAUUCUUGCCUCCCUUGUCAAAAAUUUAUUGACCAUAGGUGUCUGCGUUUAUUUUUUUUUUAAUGUCCAGCCAGAGGGAAGUCAGCUACACUCAGAUGUUCCCACUGAGGGAUCUCAUAUGAACUAACCUUGGGGAGAGUCAAUUUUCAGCAUUUUUCAAGUCCAGGUAACAUGAAAGUUUGAUGAUGUCAGAACCUCUUUAAUAAAAUAUUUCUUUUCCUUCCUCACUUUUUCUUCUAUCAUCCCCAUCUCUGGAGGAAUAAAGAAUGAGAGGCAGGAAGCUGGUGGGAGGGAGCGGGAGAUGGGCAAGCCUGGGAGAUAGAGAAGAAGGUCAGUAGAUCCCUCUUUUCCAUACUCAGGUAACUGGAGAUUCCUAUUGAAGGGAUGCAGAGCAGGGGAAAAAAGACCAAACUUUAAAGUCAGAAAAAAAUCUUUGAUUAUUAAAUUUUAUGAACAUUUCCAUUACUGAAUCAGGUUUACAAGUGACUUGAUAAUAUAUUUUUUCAAUUAUGAAAUAUCCUACAUAUCCAGAAGAAGGUAUAAACAAUAUGUGUGAUAUAUUAUAUAUAUAUAUAUAUAUGAAUUUAUAUAAUACUUAUAAAACAAACAUUAUGUAACCAAUACCCAAGUUAAAAAAUACAUUUUCAGACCUCUUAAUGUGUGUCCUCACUAUCAUCUCUCUCUUAUACCAACCUCUUGACUUUUGUGGUAAUAAUUUUUCUAAUUUUCUCUUUCAUUUUGCCAUGAUUUAGUUGUCCUUUUUAUUCAUGAUAAAUAUUUGUUUCCAGCAUUUUUUUUUAAGGAGUUUGCUGUGAACAUUCUUGUGUCUCUGAGUGGACAUGUACAUUGGUUUCUCUAAGGAUUAUAUUUAGUAUAGAAAGUCAGAGUCAUAGAAGAUGCAUUACUGUGCUAGAAUUUUACCAAUUUAGACCCACUUCUGCCUAGUCCAUGAAAUUUCCUAUUGUUCCAUGUGCUCACCAACACUGAUUAUUAUCUGCUUUUUUGAUUUUUUCCCAAUGUAGUAGAUAUAAAAUGGCAUUAUGGUUUAAUUAAAAAAAAAGUUCUCUGAUCAGCAGUGAAAUUUAUCACCUUUUCUUACGUUUAUUAACCUUUUGAAUUUUGAAUUUCCUCUUUUCUUUUCUUCUUCCUCUUUUUUUUUUUUAUGGACACACCUAAAGCAUAUGGAAGUUCCCAGGCCAGGGGUCGAAUCGGAGCUACAGCCACUGACCUACACUAUAGCCACUGGAACACAGGAUCCAAGCCAUGUCUGUGACCUACACCACAGCUCACAGCAACGCUGGAUCCUCAGCCCACUGAGUGAGGCCAGGGAUCACAUCCUUAUGGAUCCUAGUCGGGUUCUUUUAACCACGAGCCACAAAGGGAACUCCCUCCUCUUUUCUGAUAUGCUUCUUCAAAUAUUUUGCCCCUUUUUAUUUCAGAUUAUCUUUUUUUUAGUUAAUUUAAAUGAGUAUAAUAUACAUUCUAAAUACUAACCCUUUGUUAAUGAUAUGUUUUGAAAAAAUAUCUCACCUUGUAAUUUGUCUUUAUUCUUUUUGACUUUUGCUAAAUCAAAAUUUAUCAGUAAACAUAUUUCAGUUAUACCUACAGUUGAAUUUAAUAUAGUUGAUUUAUAGUUUUUUCCUUUAUAAUAAGUGCUUUCUGUGUUUUAAGAAAUCCACUCCUUAUAAAGAUGAUAAAGAUAUAUUCUUACUUUAUCUUCUAAAUUUGUUUAGAAAUUUUCUUUUCACAUUAUGGACUUCCCAUUGCGGCUCAGUGGAAAUGAAUCUGACUAGCAUCAUGAGGAUGCAGGUUUGAUUCCUGGCCUUGCUCAGUGGGUUAAGGAUCCAGCAUUGCUGUGAGUGUGGUGUAGGUCACAGAUGUGGCUUGAAUCUGGUGUUGCUGUGGCUGUGGCUGUGGUGCAGGCAGGUGGCUGCAGCUCCGAUUCAACCCCUA